This 396-nucleotide ribosomal RNA is filed under the name uncultured bacterium. RNAcentral describes it as "partial 16S ribosomal RNA". It matches the Rfam family "Bacterial small subunit ribosomal RNA", at positions 338 to 732 of the family's 1533-position model. The record is from RNAcentral.
CCUACGGGAGGCAGCAGUGAGGAAUAUUGCGCAAUGGACGAAAGUCUGACGCAGCAACGCCGCGUGGGCGAUGAAGCAGUUUUCUGUGUAAAGCCCUGUUGGGAGGGAAGAAUGGUCCGACAUCCGUUGGACUUGACGGUACCUCCAGAGAAAGCUCCGGCCAACUCCGUGCCAGCAGCCGCGGUAAUACGGGGGGAGCGAGCGUUGUCCGGAUUCAUUGGGCGUAAAGGGCGCGUAGGUGGGCUGGUAAGUGAGAGGUAAAAUCGCGGGGUUUAACUCCGAAAUUGCCUUUCAUACUGCCAGUCUCGAGGGCGAGAGGGGAAGAUGAAAUUCCUGGUGUAGCGGUGAAAUGCGUAGAUAUCAGGAGGAACACCGGUGGCGAAGGCGGUCUCCUGG